This 387-nucleotide ribosomal RNA is filed under the name uncultured eukaryote. RNAcentral describes it as "partial 18S ribosomal RNA". It matches the Rfam family "Eukaryotic small subunit ribosomal RNA", at positions 592 to 976 of the family's 1831-position model. The record is from RNAcentral.
CGAUAGCGUAUAUUUAAGUUGUUGCAGUUAAAAAGCUCGUAGUUGGAUUUCUGGCUCGGCAAGCCUAGCCCGAGGACCUGGUGUCCUUGUGAGCUGGCGCUUGUCGGCCAUCCUUCAGGAGAGUGUUUCUGCCCUUGAUUGGGUUGGGGACAGGAUCCUGAUCGUUUACUUUGAAAAAAUUAGAGUGUUCAAAGCAGGCGUGUGCUGUGAAUACAUUAGCAUGGAAUAAUAAGAUAGGACUUCGGCCCUAUUUUGUUGGUUCUGGAGCUGAGGUAAUGAUUGAUAGGGAUAGUUGGGGGUGCUCGUAUUCAACGGCCAGAGGUGAAAUUCUUGGAUUCGUUGAAGACGAACUUAUGCGAAAGCAUUCACCAAGGAUGUCUUCUUUAA